Molecule: ribosomal RNA, 465 nt
Filed under: uncultured bacterium
Lineage: Bacteria
Description: partial 16S ribosomal RNA
Rfam family: Bacterial small subunit ribosomal RNA
Source: RNAcentral
GAUGAACGCUGGCGGCGUGCUUAACACAUGCAAGUCGAACGGAAAGGCUCCUGCUUGCAGGGGUACUCGAGUGGCGAACGGGUGAGUAACACGUGGGUGAUCUGCCCUGCACUUCGGGAUAAGCCUGGGAAACUGGGUCUAAUACCGGAUAGGACCACAUUUUGGAUGGUGUGGUGGAAAGUUUUUCGGUGUGGGAUGAGCUCGCGGCCUAUCAGCUUGUUGGUGUGGUAAUGGCCUACCAAGGCGUCGACGGGUAGCCGGCCUGAGAGGGUGUACGGCCACAUUGGGACUGAGAUACGGCCCAGACUCCUACGGAAGGCAGCAGUGGGGAAUAUUGCACAAUGGGCGCAAGCCUGAUGCAGCGACGCCGCGUGGGGGAUGACGGCCUUCGGGUUGUAAACUCCUUUCGCUAGGGACGAAGCGCAAGUGACGGUACCUGGAGAAGAAGCACCGGCUAACUACGUG